RNAcentral lists this small nuclear RNA (104 nucleotides) under Moschus moschiferus (Siberian musk deer). The record is from RNAcentral. Lineage: Eukaryota; Metazoa; Chordata; Mammalia; Artiodactyla; Moschidae.
GUGCUCACUUUGGCAGCACAUAUACUAAAAUUGGAACAAUCCAGAGAUUACCAUGGCCCUUGUGCAAGGAUGACAUGCAAAUUUAUCAAGUGUUCCACAUUUUU